This 517-nucleotide long non-coding RNA is filed under the name Marmota monax (woodchuck). The record is from RNAcentral. Lineage: Eukaryota; Metazoa; Chordata; Mammalia; Rodentia; Sciuridae.
ACCCCGUGUCCCCCCAGGUGUCUGGUGGAAGCUAGCUGGGGCAAGGCCCAGGUGUUUGGCUCAGUCCCUGAUUUUACUCAUUUCCUUAUUUCCAUUUUCCUGAAACUGCUGAAUUCUGGGCAGCUGUGCACACAGCAAGGUUCUGGCCUAGAGUAAGGUUGUAAUGAGAGAAGGGCCAAGGGCCUCACUGAGCAUUUUGUGUCCCUUCCAGGAUGUCUCAUUAUACAUCCUUCCCUUGAGCAAGAAGGCUCCAUGGGAUCAUCAUUCCUGUGUUUGGUUCUGUGUUUUCCUUCACCUGGCCCCUGGGAGCAGGCCCCCUUGUUCCUGUGGGAGGGCCCUGGGCAGAGAGGACCUGAAUGUCUGCUGUACCUGCCCUCCUGGACUCAGGGAAGACUGGCCUUGGUCCAGCCAUCUUGGUGGCCUCUGUGGCUAAGCAGGUAAAAAGUGCUAGUCCCCACCUCGAGCCUGGUCCAGCUGCUAAGAGCCCCCUAGAGCAGUGGUCUCAUUUAGAAGAUUU